RNAcentral lists this ribosomal RNA (1128 nucleotides) under Triticum aestivum (bread wheat). RNAcentral's name for it is "partial small subunit ribosomal RNA". Lineage: Eukaryota; Viridiplantae; Streptophyta; Magnoliopsida; Poales; Poaceae. The record is from RNAcentral.
AAUGGAUAAUGCCCAUAUCCGAGAAGACCAAGCCCUGGCCACCAGUGCCCGCAAGGGGUGAGAAGUGUGGGUUUGUGUCCUGCGGCUACCCAUGAUCACCGUGCGCGCUUGCCCAGGCAUCUGAACCAGCAGCGUCCAACGGGCGACGCGUCUAUGGCCAUGGCAACCACCUCCUCCCGACUCACCACCACCCAGUACUCCUUCCUCUCCUCCACGCCAUGCUCGCCCACCACCAUGGCGGCGCUCCCGCGGCGGCGGAGAGCCGGCGCGCGGUACCCACGUAUCCAGGCCAUCGAGUUCGACCAGAACACGGUUGUGGCCAUAACUGUCGGCGUCGUCAGCGUCGCCGCGGGGAUCGGCAUCCCGAUUUUCUACGAGAAUCAAAUUGACAAUUCCGCAAAGAGAGACAACAACCAGCCGUGCUUCCCCUGCAGCGGCUCCGGCGCGCAGGUAUGCAGGUUUUGCACGGGAGCAGGGACUGUUACUGUAGUAAUCGGCAAUGGUGAAUCUGAAGUAUCGAAGUGUGUCAACUGCGAUGGCAUUGGCUCAUUGACAUGCACCACGUGCCAAGGUAGUGGCAUUCAGCCACGCUAUCUUGAUCGCAGGGAGUUCAAGGAUGAUGAUGACUGAAGAUUUUUUCGUUACGAGCUAACGACGGUAAGGUGAGGAAUCUGAUAUCUAAUGAUGAUCCUGAAUACUUGGUGACGAUGUGUCCAUCAGGAAUGAUAUGAUUGUUUUGUGUUGUAUUAUAUUUCCUCUCCUUUUUUGGUAAAUGUGUAUGGAUGUACAUGCACACUCUUUUGAUGUCUGAAAAUGACUGUCCCUCAGUGGGCAAAGAUGAUAUUUUCUUGUUGAAAGUUCUCAAUAUAUGUCACAUAGCGUGUUCUUUCCAAUGUAGAAGUUAGUAGCUGACUCUGCAUUGCGUUGGUGCUUAUAUUAUGGAGUAGCCAAGUUAUAUGCCACAAUCUUUAGGAUGUCAACUUUUCAGCCAAAUGGUUAGUGGAUGUAACACAAUAGUGGAAACCAAAUCCAGGGCUUCUGAGCACAGUGAGGGCACUGUUGACCUAAGAGCACAGAUCAUCUCUUGUAAAACUUACGUGUACAUGAAUAUGGCUAUAUAUAUUCUUU